GACCGGCGCACGGGUGAGUAACGCGUAUCCCACCUGCCCACCACUUGGGGAUAACCUUGCGAAAGUAAGACUAAUACCCAAUGACGUCUCUAGAAGACAUCUGAAGGAGAUUAAAGAUUUAUCGGUGAUGGAUGGGGAUGCGUCUGAUUAGCUUGUUGGCGGGGUAACGGCCCACCAAGGCGACGAUCAGUAGGGGUUCUGAGAGGAAGGUCCCCCACAUUGGAACUGAGACACGGUCCAAACUCCUACGGGAGGCAGCAGUGAGGAAUAUUGGUCAAUGGGCGAGAGCCUGAACCAGCCAAGUAGCGUGCAGGAAGACGGCCCUAUGGGUUGUAAACUGCUUUUAUAAGGGAAUAAAGUGAGUCUCGUGAGACUUUUUGCAUGUACCUUAUGAAUAAGGACCGGCUAAUUCCGUGCCAGCAGCCGCGGUAAUACGGAAGGUCCGGGCGUUAUCCGGAUUUAUUGGGUUUAAAGGGAGCGUAGGCCGGAGAUUAAGCGUGUUGUGAAAUGUAGACGCUCAACGUCUGCACUGCAGCGCGAACUGGUUUCCUUGAGUACGCACAAAGUGGGCGGAAUUCGUGGUGUAGCGGUGAGAUGCUUAGAUAUCACGAAGAACUCCGAUUGCGAAGGCAGCUCACUGGAGCGCAACUGACGCUGAAGCUCGAAAGUGCGGGUAUCGAACAGGAUUAGAUACCCUGGUAGUCCGCACGGUAAACGAUGGAUGCCCGCUGUUGGCCUGAACAGGUCAGCGGCCAAGCGAAAGCAUUAAGCAUCCCACCUGGGGAGUA
This 788-nucleotide ribosomal RNA is filed under the name uncultured bacterium. Its description in RNAcentral is "bacterial SSU rRNA". It matches the Rfam family "Bacterial small subunit ribosomal RNA", at positions 93 to 882 of the family's 1533-position model. The record is from RNAcentral.